GGCACUGGAAGGUCCCUAAACCGAAAGGGGCUCUGCCCGCCCGAGGAUGGGCCGGCGGCCGAUUAGGUAGUUGGUGGGGUAACGGCCCACCAAGCCCAUAAUCGGUACGGGCAGUGAGAGCUGGAGCCCGGAGAUGGACACUGAGACACGGGUCCAGGCCCUACGGGGCGCAGCAGGCGCGAAACCUCCGCAAUGCUCGAAAGAGCGACGGGGGGACCCCAAGUGCCGUGGUACAACCACGGCUUUUCCGGAGUGUAAGAAGCUCCGGGAAUAAGGGCUGGGCAAGGCCGGUGGCAGCCGCCGCGGUAAUACCGGCGGCCCGAGUGGUGGCCACUAUUAUUGGGCCUAAAGCGUCCGUAGCCGGGCUUGUAAGUCCCUGGCGAAAUCCCACGGCUCAACCGUGGGGCUUGCUGGGGAUACUGCAAGCCUUGGGACCGGGAGAGGCCGGGGGUACUCCUGGGGUAGGGGUGAAAUCCUAUAAUCCCAGGAGGACCGCCAGUGGCGAAGGCGCCCGGCUGGAACGGGUCCGACGGUGAGGGACGAAGGCCAGGGGAGCAAACCGGAUUAGAUACCCGGGUAGUCCUGGCUGUAAAGGAUGCGGGCUAGGUGUUGCUUGGACCUCGAGUCCAAGCAGUGCCGCAGG
RNAcentral lists this ribosomal RNA (643 nucleotides) under uncultured archaeon. RNAcentral's name for it is "bacterial SSU rRNA". It matches the Rfam family "Archaeal small subunit ribosomal RNA", at positions 166 to 807 of the family's 1478-position model. The record is from RNAcentral.